Molecule: long non-coding RNA, 289 nt
Filed under: Olea europaea (common olive)
Lineage: Eukaryota; Viridiplantae; Streptophyta; Magnoliopsida; Lamiales; Oleaceae
Description: long non-coding RNA (OEUR_LNC012073)
Source: RNAcentral
UCACUUUUAUUUUCUCUCCAUAACUAGAUGUCCGUACACAUACUUGUGGCUCACGUCUUUUGUUCGUUUCACAUCCAAAUAUCUAUACAAGUUGAUUAACUUGAUCCUCAGAGUGCUUGUAAUUGUCUUUUUCACUAUCAAAGAAGGCCAAGUGUACAAGAGCCUUACACUUGGAUGUGAGUGGAGUAAGACCUGUUGACCACGUAAUCAGUCAGAAAUUGAGGCCAGCAUGAAGAUUGUAAAGUAAAAAAUGGAGAAAUAUACUUCAUUCAUAAUUAUAUUCUUGCCA